Molecule: ribosomal RNA, 314 nt
Filed under: uncultured bacterium
Lineage: Bacteria
Description: bacterial SSU rRNA
Rfam family: Bacterial small subunit ribosomal RNA
Source: RNAcentral
GAUGAACGCUGGCGGCGUGCCUAAUACAUGCAAGUAGAACGCUGAAGAAAGAGCUUGCUCUUUUGGAAGAGUUGCGAACGGGUGAGUAACGCGUAGGUAACCUGCCUGGUAGCGGGGGAUAACUAUUGGAAACGAUAGCUAAUACCGCAUAAUAGCUUUAAUUGCAUGAUUGAAGUUUGAAAGAUGCAACUGCAUCACUACCAGAUGGACCUGCGUUGUAUUAGCUAGUAGGUGAGGUAAAGGCUCACCUAGGCGACGAUACAUAGCCGACCUGAGAGGGUGAACGGCCACACUGGGACUGAGACACGGCCCAG